GCAAGUCGAACGGUAACAGAAAAUAGCUUGCUAUUUUGCUGACGAGUGGCGGACGGGUGAGUAAUGCUUGGGAAUAUGCCUUAUGGUGGGGGACAACAGUUGGAAACGACUGCUAAUACCGCAUAAUAACUUCGGACCAAAGUGGGGGACCUUCGGGCCUCACGCCAAAAGAUUAGCCCAAGUGGGAUUAGCUAGUUGGUAAGGUAAAGGCUUACCAAGGCGACGAUCCCUAGCUGGUCUUAGAGGAUGACC
This 252-nucleotide ribosomal RNA is filed under the name uncultured bacterium. RNAcentral describes it as "partial 16S ribosomal RNA". It matches the Rfam family "Bacterial small subunit ribosomal RNA", at positions 57 to 305 of the family's 1533-position model. The record is from RNAcentral.